GAAAUGCGAUAAGUAGUGUGAAUUGCAGAAUUCAGUGAAUCAUCGAAUCUUUGAACGCACAUUGCGCCCUUUGGUAUUCCGAAGGGCAUACCUGUUCGAGCGUCAUUUAAUCCCUCAAGCCUGGCUUGGUUUUGGGCGCCUUUGUCCUAUUUUUGUGAAUGGGACUCGCCUUAAAAGUAUCGGCGCAAAGCAACUCAAUUAGCGGGCACAGUACAUUGUGGCUCUGCAAUUGGCGUGUCAAAGCUGCCGUUAAUUCUUUUAAAUUUUUUUUUUGAAUUGACCUCGGAUCAGGUAGGGAUACCCGCUGAACUUAA
RNAcentral lists this unclassified non-coding RNA (314 nucleotides) under uncultured Ascomycota. RNAcentral describes it as "sequence contains ITS1". The stretch from base 1 to 105 matches the Rfam family "5.8S ribosomal RNA", at positions 50 to 154 of the family's 154-position model. Lineage: Eukaryota; Fungi; Ascomycota. The record is from RNAcentral.